CCCAGAGGAUCCAGAUCACAGUCUCCAGGAGGCAGUGUGGAUGAGCUCUGGAAGGCCAGGGCAGGUGCUAUGCAGAGCAGCACAGCAGAAGUUCAAGUUCAAGCUGUUGAAGCAGACUCGGUUAAAAGGGGUGAAGGGAAGGUCAGGGAUAGGAUGGCUUGAACCAAGACGAGCUCUCCUGCUAGAAGGAAGGGUAGAGGCCUGCAGCCUGGCCAUUCCAGGACAGAAAGGAGCAGAUGUGUCUGCUCUGGCCAUGUGUUCCUCUGUCCCAGGCAUACAAAAGUCCCAUUGAUGCUGCCCCUCACCCCCGCAUCCUGGGGCCAGUGCCCCAGAACAGGGCUCUGCGGGCCUCUCCUGCUCCUAGCUGACAGUCCAGCUGUUGCUGCUGCUGCUGCUGUCCAGGCAUGCCAGGCCUGGGCAAUAUGAAGUCACAUGCUCUGCGCGGGCGAGGCCAUGCACUGGCUGGGAGAGUGUCAGGGAGCACAGCAAGGUACGUAUUCAUGUGCAGUACAGGAUCUGCAGAAAAGCUGGGUGCCAAGAAGCAUUGCCUCCCCCUUCAGUCCCGCCCAUUUUCCAGAAGGGCAAAUCCUUGGGCAAACAGUCAGACAGGUGCAAGAGGCAAAGCAAAAGGUAGGGCAGGAAAAAGCAAAUACCAAAGCCUCUGCUCUACCGCUGCCCUGCUGGACUGUGUUCUGGCAGCCCUGCCUGUAUGACCACUAGUGCCCCAACACUUGGUCUGCGGUAUGUGGAGAGUCUCCCUGCUCUGCAUUCCCUCAGAGGGCCUGACUAUGAAACUGGGGGAGCAGCAACAGGAAGAAUGGGCAGGGCCCGAAGCCUCCAAACUGGGCUCUGACAGUUGCCUGCCACCCACCUAGGCCCGCCACACAUCCCCCUCAAGCCUUGUCUAGGGGACUGGGUGAGUAACUCCACAGGAGAUGUGCUGGAGAGGGGCAGGCUCACCUGGGCUUGGAGUCUGCUGAAGGACUUUGGACAAGUCCUAGGGCCUUGGGGCCAGUGAAUCUCACCAUUCACAACCUUCAAAGUUAAUUGGAUGAGGCCUUUGUGGGAGUCCUUGGCAUGUGUCUGGCAGGAGAGAUACUCUAAAGAGAGAUACUUGUGCCCCUCCCUUUGGCUAUCAGGCUAUAGAAACAAUAGUCCCCAAAGAAUUAAAAAAUGUCCCUAGGAAUCUCAGGCUGGGGGAAGAGAAGGGCUGAAGCCUGUUGCCUGAAGAGAAACUUGCUUCCUAGGAAGGGAUUUCACAUAAUUCUCGCCACCUUACAGGCCAGACUGAAGCAGAGUCUGGUGAGUGGGGCCACACCCUGACCAGGAUUGUUUAGUUAAGCAUACCUCUUUGCCUUCUAUUUAGACCUAAGCCCCCUGCCAGGACUCUGGAGACAGAUGUGGAGGGGUCAUUGGACCCAUCCAUAUCUUCUUCCCCUCAGCAUGGCUGUGUUGAGCUCUCUCUUUUCACUACUACUUGUCUCUAACUGGCCAACAGGGAACAGAUUGUCAGUCUAGCUUGUUGGGUCUGCCAGAGCUUAGGCUUUGACCCUAACAGCUCUAGUAACAGACACAGGGUUCAGCACACACAAGCUACUCACUGUGUGGAUGCUCAGCCUGGAGCUGCCUGUGGGUGUGGGUGGCCUGGGAGCAGGUUCAGAAUGAGGAGUAGUGCUGCAGAGGUCUAGCAUGCUCACCCAGCUGUUCUUGGGUCCCAUGGGCAAACCAUAUCAACACCUGACCACUGACUGACCUGUGGCUAUAGGGCCAGGCAGGGGGAAAGGAUAGGCCACAUCGACUCCAGUGUCAGGGCCUGCUCUUGCUGGCCUCAAACGCAGGGCAGAACACCUAGAACUGAGAGUGACUCCUGCCACUCGCUUUGGCUUUAGGCUGACCCCAACCUAGAUGCAAACAGAGGACAGGCUAUAUUCUCAGGGUCCAGGAGAGGCAACGUGGUUGUCCUUUGUUCCAUGUGCUUCAGUUGGGUGUGCUGCAGGCAGGGCUCUUCAGGCCUCCUGUUCUCAGCCCACAAUGCUCUCCCCAAUCUUGCUGUCUACAGAGCUGUUUAGGAUUCCCAGGUUUAGCCUAAACAGCCCUCCAAGACACUGUUGGGGCCCACCAACCCCUCAGGUAGAACAAGUGAUGGCCCUCCAUCCUGCACUCCCUGAAGGCUGGGGGCUGCCACAGGGCAGGGCUGCACGACCUGCAUCUCCAUAUCCUUGGCAUCCAGCACAGAGCCUGGUGCCUAGCAGCUGCUCAAGAAAUGUCAAACAAGGCCCCAGCCCAGCUCCUUGCUCCGCAGAUCACGCUGCCAGCACACUUGGCCAAGAAGAUUCAAAGUCAGCUAGCAGGAACAGGGCGAGACUGUGUCCCUGAGCUGGGGAGUUCGAGGCUUCUGCUCCUUCAGAAAGUGCCUACCUUGCAUGCAUCAAGCUUCACCCACAAUCAGAGGCAGCUCUGGGGACAUGAAGGCUGCCUCCCUGUCUCCAAAAGCAGAAACCAAAGUUAACAGGGGGUGAGCAAGGGAGGUGCACCGGAACUGCAGGGAGAAAGGCAGUUGUGGCUGCCAUCUGCUGUGAGCAAGAUGUUUGGAGAACACGCACUCCUAGCUCUGAGGUCUCCCAGCCAACAUGGGAGGGUGGGGUGGCCUCUCUGCACAUGGGAGCUGGCAGCUCAGCCAAGACCUGAGAGGCCACCGAGGGGUGCUAGGGCCAGUCCUACCCACCCAAACUCUGUAGCUGCACCUGCCUGACCUGAUUCUUGAGCAUAUGGGGGCCAGGGUGCUACGGACUUUGGAGAGUCAAUUCUACAAUAUGACAAUGGUAACUUAAACAUAAGGAUAAUAAGGACAACAGUAUCGGUUACUGUUAACGGGAAGCAUAGUUGCUUGUCUGAGUCUCUUCUAGCCAUCACCUCAUUUCACCCCAUCAUUCUCAUAGGAGAAGGGCAAUCAGGGUCCAAGAAAGGGUGACUAGUCCCUGCUCCUCCCUGUAGUGGGGCUUGACUAAUUAGGACCCACCCAAACAAGGUUCUGGGGUCCUUGGCUAUUUUUCUUUGUUUGUUUUUCGAGACAGUGUCUCUCUGAGUAGUCUUGGCUGUCCUGGAAGUCACUUUGUAGACCUGACUGGCCUUGAACUCGGAGAUCCACCUGUUUCUGCCUCCCAAGUGCUGGGAUUAAAGGCAUGAGCUACCACUGUCCAGCUGGUCCUUGACUAGUUUUUUUCCCCUUAAGAUAGGGUUUCUUUGUGUAGCCCUGGCUUUCCUUAGACCAGGCUGGCCUCAAAUACACAGAGAUCUGCCUGCCUCUUCCUCGGGAUUGUUGAGAUUAACAGUGUGCACCACUGAAACCAAGGAUACAAUGACCUGUCAUAGGCCAUAUGCGCUCAGCAGCAGGAAGGGAGCAAACCUUAGAACCCCACCAGCUCCCCAAGUUCCUACAACUUUGCUCCACCUGGUAUAGGACUGGUGUCACCUUCCUGUCCUCAGCAAUGCCUAACUUACCACAUGGGGCUACCCUGCCUCCAUACAAACAGCUUGACACAUUUUCUUUGAAGAGAAGCCCUUAGAAGGAGGAGACUAUGCUCACCCACUGGGAAGAGCCGUCCCAGCUGGAACCUGAUGCUCCCUCAUGUCACCCAAGUAUGUUGUCUGUUUAGGUCACAGCUGGCUUAGCCUUAGUGCUCCCUUCCCCAGUUGUGGGCCAAGCUGAGUACCAGGCUAGACUUCAAUCUGGUGAAGCCUAGGCUUGCCAGCCUCAUUCCUGCCUGGGACACCUCACCACUGUGCCUGUCCACAAGGAAUCAGCAGCCUUCUGCCCAGAUGUGUUACAGACACUCAGGUACCCUGCUUGCCAGAGGUGCUGGCUCUGGCACCUCACCAACAACACUGCCACAUUUCUCACAAGGCUGGAUGAAUGGGUGUCAUGACUAAAUCAUGCCAGGGUCUCCACUCUCACUUCUAGAGGCAACCAUCCCCACGGCUACUCUACCCAGAGAGUCAGGGGCAACAACAUCCCCCACUGGUAACAGGAAGACAGGGAAUCUGGGGCUAGUCACCCAGAACUGCACAUCCCUCCAACCCACCCCCCAGCUCAACCCACGCAGCACUGCUGCCUCCGCCCCCACAGGCCUGCUAGCAAGCCAUGCACUCCAGUGCUGUCUGCUCAGUCCUCCCCCGCCCCUCCCCACACUGCGAUUGCAACACCUCUGUCCUCCUGCCUGCUGAGGACACAGGACCUGUGUGCUUUUUGGUGGGCGUGGGGAGCCAACAGUGUUCUCUUUUCUCCCAGGGGUCCUUGGCCACAGCUAGGUCACUGGGCUGACCCUACUUCCUGCCUCUCACAGUCCUCAGUCUGGUGGCCCUGUCUGUGUCUGGAAAGUGCCUCUGAGUCAAUGGCUUGCUUAUUCCCUGCUCUCUUGUCAAGGACAGGGCCAGGAAGGCCUUUGGCCCAGGAAUUUUCAGGAGCAGCCAAGCUCAAGACCUGAGCCUUACUUGUCUCUUGUUGGGAAGUAGGGGAGGUGGACUCUGGUAUCCCUGGAAUGUUGUACUGACUCUAUCCCCCUCACCCUAUCUUGGGACUGAGUGUGAGUCGCUGUCACCACCCAGACACCUUCACAACUCCUGCCUCAGCAGAGGCACAGUCAGGCCCAGGGUGAGUCAGCCAGGGAAGUCCCAGCAUUAGCACCCACCACUGGAGAGCCUCCGCUGACACCUAUGAGUGGGACAUCCAGCCCCUCCCACAGAGGGUGAGAGGAACACCCGGGCUCCCUCACCCCCAUUCCUGUUCCCUGAGAAGAGACAGGCAGGUGGAGCAGGAGAAAGUCACACUGCAGACAUCCUGAAAGGUAGGCCACGGGCACACAGCUGCUUCUUACAGCCUCUAACCCCUCAGGCUUGGCACAUUAGCAGAGAGGAGUCCCCUGCUCAGUGCCAGGCACCCUGACCUCUGAGUACCCUGCUUUCCAGGUUUUGCCACCUGUGUGGCUCCAGAAGACGAUGGGGUGGGCACCCUACUCAUUCUUGAGGGGCCUCCUCUUGGUCAAGCCGGGAUGGAAGGAGGACCAAGGCCCAGACCAGAGAGAGGUCCACCCCAUCCCCUUUCCAGGAGGACCAAAUGGUGGAUACACCUUGCACGGGGCCCACUCUCCUGCCACUGCUGCCAGGAAGCCCCAGAGCUGAGCGUUACUAUUAGUUCCCCACACCGUCUCUAGGCCACAUGAAAAAGCAGCUCUUCUGGGCUCCUGGACUAGGGGACGCAUACUGGAGAAGACACAGAGGCCCAGGGGCUGCUCUCCACCUUCUCGGGAUCACAUGCCUGCUGGUUAUGGCCUGGACAGGUAUUAGAGACCCCAUCCAUGGGCUGUGGGCUGUGAUAGGUAGCUGGGAAAGCUCUCACUCAGGCUUCUCCAGCCCCUGCUAGCUGGGCUUGAUCUUCAGCUCCUUCUGGGCUUCCCCUUUCUUGCUUCUUCCUAAAGCUGGGCCUCUUGCACUUCCGGGCCAGGGAAGCCGGUGGUGGGAGAGAUUCAGAAACCCAUCCACUAUGUUGAAAGAAGACUGGAGACAUGCUGCCAUAUACAUCUCCUGGGUUUACUCAAAUGUCAUGAAUGGCUUUCUUCCACCCCUUGCCAAAGCGCAUGCAUGCACGUGUGCGCACGAGCGCUCACGCACGCACACACACACACACACACACACACACACACACACACACACCACGACCUGAGCCACUCAAUGGAAAAUAGUAGCUCGAAGUACUAAGUCUCAGGGCUGCUGGAAGUGAGGUCUUAGACACAAAGUCAGGCAUUGGGGCACUCAUGAGGCAGCUCAGACCAUGAAAGAAAGAGAGAAGGCAGGGCAGACCCCACUCACGAGAUCCAGGAGGCCAACCUCAGGGCCAGGUUCACUCAGGCACCCUAGGUCUCUCAGUGGGCCUACACAGUCUCCCACCACUCAUCAUAUCCCUAUGGUCACAGGCAUGGAGACCUAGAAACCAGAGACAGACAGCCCUGAUCAAGCCCUUGUCUAUCGAGGGGACCAUGUGCCAGCAGCCACUUAGACACAAACCUGGCAGCUGGAACAGACAGGAGAGGUCUUCUCUGGCAACCAAAGGUGCUCAAAAGACCAGGCAGUGGAAAAGGAAUGGGAAGGCAAGCAACUCACUACAGAGCAGAGCAGAGCUACAAGUGCCAGAAUUAGAGUUCAGACCUCUCCAUCCUCACAACCUACAGACAAGGACCAGUAGCCCAGGGAAGUACUCUGGCAUGGCCAAGGACACACGGCUGUGGGUUUUGGCCUGUCAGAAAUGCCACUCAGGUCUCCUUUAGUCAAGCAUUACUUCCUUAGCAUGUUGCUCUAUGAGCCUAGAUUCUGGAGUUUAUGCUUGGGCACCUGGGUGAUACAUUCUGAUGGAAAAUGAACUGUACUGCGUGAGGGUAUUUUUGGCUGUCUCUCUCCACACCUUCGCCCUGUGUAGCAGACAGGUGUCUUUACCUUCACCAGAGAAACAAACUGAGAGAAGCAAGAAAUAGAUCAAAGUGAUGAACAAGGAGCACCAGGACCUGAAGGAGAGGGGACAGGACACGGUUACCUUGGCCAGAGUGCCACAGUCCUGGAAGAUGAAUCAAUCUUCCACUAGCCAAAGAGGCCUUUUGUCCCAUGCUGGGAGAAUCUUCUGUGUUCCAGAGACCCCGGACCAAACACGAUUAUGUCACAUUUUCCUCUUACUAUGAAAUUAUGUUCUCUAUGGAAAACAGAAACCACCACCACUAACAAUAAAAGAACCAGAAGCCGCCCCCAAUCCCACUAGGAAAAUUAACUAUGAACAACCAUCUAGUCCUUUGUUUUCUCUGUCCAAAUAUAGUGUGUGAUGGUUACUGUUGACAGGAUCUAGGAUCACCUAGGAGACAGACCUCUGGGCAUGCCUGUGAGAGUUUGGAGACUGGGUUAGCUGAGGCGGGAGAUCCACUGUAACUGUGGGUGGCAUCGUUCCAUGGGCUGGAGUCACAGACUAAAUAAAAAGGAAGUGGGACACCAGCAUCUGUCUCUCUCUGCUUCCUGACUUUGGAUAGAUACCAUGUGACCAGCUGCCUCAGGCUUUUGGUGCCAUGACUUCCCUGACAUAAUGGACUUGAACAAUGAGCCAGAAUAAACUCUUCCUUUCCUGA
Mesocricetus auratus (golden hamster) is the source of this 7160-nucleotide long non-coding RNA. RefSeq lists it as uncharacterized. The record is from RefSeq and is a predicted model, not a curated record. The transcript has 2 exons. Lineage: Eukaryota; Metazoa; Chordata; Mammalia; Rodentia; Cricetidae.